CGCAUGGGCUCGUCCCGCGACAAACCAUUCAAGUUUCUGCCCCAUCAUGCUUUCGAUGGUAGUGUAUUGGACUACCAUGGCUUUCACGGGUAACGGAGGAUUAGGGUUCGAUUCCGGAGAGGGAGCCUGAGAAACGGCUACCACUUCCACGGAAGGCAGCAGGCGCGUAAAUUACCCAAUCCUAAUUCAGGGAGGUAGUG
Molecule: ribosomal RNA, 200 nt
Filed under: uncultured Spirotrichea
Lineage: Eukaryota; Ciliophora; Spirotrichea
Description: partial small subunit ribosomal RNA
Rfam family: Eukaryotic small subunit ribosomal RNA
Source: RNAcentral